UUAGGAAUUAACUUGUUCUAAAACAAGCUUACGUGGGAUAUAUAUUUGACCUAAUUCUAUAUACAUAGAAAGUGUCAUUCAAGCUGGGAAUAUUAAUUAUUCUAGAUCCAUUAAUGGGAGUUUUCUUCUCUUAUAAAGGUGUGAUGGAUUGAGAGAAAGCAAGAUUAGGGUUUCCAUAAAUGGGAUGACUAGUGCCUAUAACUUGAGAAAGAGCUGAUACCAUGGCUGUCAUGUCUUGCUGGGAUCUAGCUGAAUACAUAGGGAAGAUGGUUUGAUCAUCUUCUUCAUCUUGAUCUUGAUCUUCUGCUUCCCUCUUCUCCGAUGAUUCAUGAUCGGAUGAGAAGGGAUACCUCGGAUCCACUUUUGAUGAACUGCUUGAAAACAAAUUGAUGUAUAUAAUGAAGAAAUAUUUGAUCAGAUUGAUCACAAGACUGAUGAUCUUGAUUGGCUUUGACGGUCAAGACUCAUGAAUUAAGACCAGGAGGAAGUUGGACUGUAACUAGAAGAAGAAGUAGAGGAAGAGAGGGAAUUAUGACAAUGGAUGGGAUAGUGACUUCGGAUGGAGAUUAAAUAGGCAACCUAUAUUAUGUUUUGUGGGUUUAUUUAUUUAGAAAUACUUCACUUUAAAUUAAAGUUUCUUUUUC
Long non-coding RNA from Impatiens glandulifera, 644 nucleotides. RefSeq lists it as uncharacterized. The transcript has 2 exons. The record is from RefSeq and is a predicted model, not a curated record. NCBI's taxonomy places the organism in Eukaryota, Viridiplantae, Streptophyta, Magnoliopsida, Ericales, Balsaminaceae.